AGUCAUAUGCUUGUCUCAAAGAUUAAGCCAUGCAUGUCUCAGUACAAGCCAAAUUAAGGUGAAACCGCGAAAGGCUCAUUAAAUCAGUUAUGGUUCCUUAGAUCGUACACACAAUUACUUGGAUAACUGUGGUAAUUCUAGAGCUAAUACAUGCUAACGGAGCCCUGACCGGAGACGGAAAGGGUGCUUUUAUUAGAUCAAAACCAAUCGGUGGCGGGUUCGCUCGUCAUCGUACCAUUUGGUGACUCUGAAUAACUUUUGCUGAUCGCACGGUCUCGUACCGGCGACGCAUCUUUCAAAUGUCUGCCUUAUCAACUGUCGAUGGUAGGUUCUGCGCCUACCAUGGUUGUAACGGGUAACGGGGAAUCAGGGUUCGAUUCCGGAGAGGGAGCCUGAGAAACGGCUACCACAUCUAAGGAAGGCAGCAGGCGCGCAAAUUACCCACUCCCGGCACGGGGAGGUAGUGACGAAAAAUAACGAUACGGGACUCAUCCGAGGCCCCGUAAUCGGAAUGAGAACAAUCUAAACCUUUUAACAAGGAACAAUUGGAGGGCAAGUCUGGUGCCAGCAGCCGCGGUAAUUCCAGCUCCAAUAGCGUAU
Molecule: ribosomal RNA, 600 nt
Filed under: Nargus velox
Lineage: Eukaryota; Metazoa; Arthropoda; Insecta; Coleoptera; Leiodidae
Also listed under: 2 other names
Description: SSU rRNA
Rfam family: Eukaryotic small subunit ribosomal RNA
Source: RNAcentral